RNAcentral lists this ribosomal RNA (484 nucleotides) under uncultured bacterium. RNAcentral describes it as "partial 16S ribosomal RNA". It matches the Rfam family "Bacterial small subunit ribosomal RNA", at positions 30 to 507 of the family's 1533-position model. The record is from RNAcentral.
AUUGAACGCUGGCGGCAGGCCUAACACAUGCAAGUCGAGCGGAUGAAGGGAGCUUGCUCCUGGAUUCAGCGGCGGACGGGUGAGUAAUGCCUAGGAAUCUGCCUGGUAGUGGGGGAUAACGUCCGGAAACGGGCGCUAAUACCGCAUACGUCCUGAGGGAGAAAGUGGGGGAUCUUCGGACCUCACGCUAUCAGAUGAGCCUAGGUCGGAUUAGCUAGUUGGUGGGGUAAAGGCCUACCAAGGCGACGAUCCGUAACUGGUCUGAGAGGAUGAUCAGUCACACUGGAAAUGAGACAGGGUAAAAAAACCUACAGGAGGCAGAAGUGGGGAAUAUUGGAAAAUGGGCGAAAGAAUGAUCCAGCCAUGCAGCAUGUGUGAAGAAGGUCUUAGGAUUGUAAAGCACUUUAAGGUGGGAGGAAGGGCAGUAAGUAAAUAACUUGCUGUUUUGACGUUACCAUCAGAAUAAGCACAGGCUAACUUCGUG